Molecule: non-coding RNA, 21 nt
Filed under: Arabidopsis thaliana (thale cress)
Lineage: Eukaryota; Viridiplantae; Streptophyta; Magnoliopsida; Brassicales; Brassicaceae
Source: RNAcentral
AGACUACGUUUCUAAUAUGGU